This 429-nucleotide ribosomal RNA is filed under the name uncultured bacterium. RNAcentral describes it as "bacterial SSU rRNA". It matches the Rfam family "Bacterial small subunit ribosomal RNA", at positions 355 to 776 of the family's 1533-position model. The record is from RNAcentral.
UAGGGAAUCUUCGGCAAUGGGGGGAACCCUGACCGAGCAACGCCGCGUGAGUGAAGAAGGUUUUCGGAUCGUAAAGCUCUGUUGUCAGCCAAGAACGGGUGUGAGAGUGGAAAGCUCACACUGUGACGGUAACUGACCAGAAAGGGACGGCUAACUACGUGCCAGCAGCCGCGGUAAUACGUAGGUCCCGAGCGUUGUCCGGAUUUAUUGGGCGUAAAGCGAGCGCAGGCGGUUAGAUAAGUCUGAAGUAAAAGGCUGUGGCUUAACCAUAGUAUGCUUUGGAAACUGUUUAACUUGAGUGCAGAAGGGGAGAGUGGAAUUCCAUGUGUAGCGGUGAAAUGCGUAGAUAUAUGGAGGAACACCGGUGGCGAAAGCGGCUCUCUGGUCUGUAACUGACGCUGAGGCUCGAAAGCGUGGGUAGCGAACAGG